This is a long non-coding RNA of Osmerus eperlanus (European smelt), 642 nucleotides long. RefSeq lists it as uncharacterized. The record is from RefSeq and is a predicted model, not a curated record. NCBI's taxonomy places the organism in Eukaryota, Metazoa, Chordata, Actinopteri, Osmeriformes, Osmeridae. The transcript has 2 exons.
UUCAGUCUUUGUUUCAUGUAAAUACACCAAGUAAAACUUAAAUUAUGAAAAUUUCAAUCCCAUGAAAAAAGUGCGUCAAAAUAUGCGCUCUUUUUUUGCGCACGUUGUAUUUAUUACAAUAUUUUUGUCGUCUUUUGACAUAAAAUUAAACGGAAAAAAGAAUGGGGGUUUGGGUUAUUAUUACUGGUUUUCGGAGUAUUUUGGGUAGUUUUGGGGAUAUAUUGAGUAUUUCAGGAAUACAUUUGGAAUUAUUUGGGGGAAAAUGAGGCUGACACCAUGUACAACAUGCCCUCGACUUGUUAUUUCAACAUAGAGGCGAAGAACUAGAGGGAGCCUGAAGACCCAGACAUUGUUGUUGACAACAAGAGAGAAUGAAGAGCCAUUUUCACUCAAGGGCCAAUGAUGACAUCAAGUGGCUAUAAAAAGGUACCUCACUCCAUAAAAGUAAGUUUUAGGACUGUGAUGUAGCCCUCUGUCUCAUAUUUUGGACAUAAACUGCUUUGAGGAGUGGCACAGAUCAAAAAAAGGAAAAACGCAUAUGGCUAGACCUGCUUUCUAUGUAAAUAGUUGUAUAUAGCUUGAUUAUAUCUCAACUUUACCUUUUAUAUGUUCACAUAUGCAACUUGUGCUUCAGUUUCAAAC